Molecule: long non-coding RNA, 1043 nt
Organism: Morone saxatilis (striped sea-bass)
Lineage: Eukaryota; Metazoa; Chordata; Actinopteri; Moronidae
Exons: 3
Source: RefSeq, a predicted model, not a curated record
GCUCCGAGACGUGUUUUAUCAGGCGCCGAUUGUCCGUGUCAAAUUAAAAGAAGUCCUGUCACAAUAAAGAUUAACGAUGUCGUUUCUGGGGUUGUUUCUGCGGGGGAACUCGGCGACUGCACGAUGAGCGGCGGCGAAGUGUGCGGGACAAACUGCGCUCAGGGUUUCGGACUCUUAACUGCGGACUCGUGUUUUUAAACUUGUUUACGUCGAAGCGCUGUCGAGGGGAGGAAAGUCGCAUCUGUAGAUCAGCUGAUGCAGCCAGGUGAACUGCAGGCGGAUGGAUGAAUGGCUGAAGUUGGACGGACGCUUUCUAGUCUCGCUGUUUGUCUCGUAUUGCACCUCCUCCUCCUCUUCCUCCUCCUCCUCCUCCUGUCUCCCUCCAUCGCGGUCGGUCUCCUGCGGCCUGUGAGCGGAUGAAUGCCAGAGCCUGUGUUUCUUCUACCAUCGCCAAAAGGACUCCAUGUCUUUCUUGGACUGUUCCUGCAUCUCCCACGCUCAGGUCCAGCCCUUGGACAUAGAGGAGCGCUAUGAGGACACCAGCCACCAGUUCCUGGUCAGUAGCCGAGACACUGUCAGCACGGAGACAGGCGUCACACUGAAGCUCUUCCAUCAUUUCAUCACUAUUCAUUUAUCAUCAUCUAUGUGGAGCUGCUUAACCCUUACCUUAGAGACCGUAACUACUGGAUUAGUAUCGCAGCUGUUAGAGCUGUUGGUAACUCUUAAAGGGGUACUCCACCUGUUUAACUAAUUGGGGGGACUCACCAGAGACAGAUUAAAGCAAGAGCAGUCACAAUUGGUGUAACAGAGGCCAAGAUGUCCUGAUUUCAUGUCCUCCCCAUGACGGCUCAAGCUCCACAAACCGUGAAUACUACAACUCCCAUAAUGCAACUUGUUUUGUUUUUCAUUGGGACUUUUUUCUAUGGCUGCUGAGCGCCCUUGUCUCUCAUACUCCCAAUCAAUAACACAGGCUUUUUGUAAUGAAUUUGUAAUGAAGUCUCAAGCCCGAGUCCAGAUAACGCAGAUGACAUCACUGUGACAUC